This is an RNA transcript of Cucurbita moschata (crookneck pumpkin), 3428 nucleotides long. It is a transcript of the gene named probable UDP-3-O-acyl-N-acetylglucosamine deacetylase 2, mitochondrial, with no coding region annotated. The record is from RefSeq and is a predicted model, not a curated record. Lineage: Eukaryota; Viridiplantae; Streptophyta; Magnoliopsida; Cucurbitales; Cucurbitaceae. The transcript has 7 exons.
UGGAAACUCCGACGUCAACGCCUUUCUCAGCCGUUCUUCCUAUUUCGCUUCCCUGUGUGGCCGUUACCGUCGCCACCGGCCAAUGCUCAUUCCUACUGCCCUCAACGCCCUCAAAUCCUCAAGGUCAAUAUCUUGGUCGCCGACGGGUAGGUUCCAGCAAACCUUGGCGGGAUGCCUGGAGCUGAGUGGGAUAUCUCUGCAUUCAGGGAAGGUUUCGAAAGUGAAGUUAUGUCCGGAAUUUGCAGGCAGAGGGAGGUAUUUUGAUUUCAAGUCCAACUUCAUUCCUGCCUCGAUCGAUUAUGCCGAAGAGUCGUCUCUUUGUACGACGCUCUCUAAGGAUGGGUUUAAAAUUCGUACGGUUGAGCAUUUGCUUUCUGCCCUGGAGGCCAUGGGGGUUGACAAUUGUAGGAUUGAGAUAGCGAAUGAAGACGCUAAAGACAGUGAAGUCGAGGUUCCAAUUUUUGAUGGAUCUGCGUGUAAAUGGGUGGAUGCAAUAGAGGAGGUUGGUCUUAAGUUGGCUAUAGACCAGCGUGGCAACUGCUGUGAAAAAAUGGCACCAUAUGUAAAUCAACCUGUCUAUGCGUGGAGGAAUGACUGUUAUCUUGUUGCUUUUCCAGCCAAAGCAGUUCGUAUUACUUAUGGAAUUGACUUUCCUCAGGUGCCUGGCAUUGGCUGCCAAUGGUUUUCUACUGCUCCUUUGGACAAUAUGUUCUAUGCCGAGCAAAUAGCUCCAUCAAGAACCUUUUGCAUUUACGAGGAGGUAGAGCAAAUGCGUAAUAUGGGGCUCAUAAGAGGAGGCUCAAUAGAAAAUGCUUUAGUUUGCAGUGUCAGUAAAGGUUGGAUCAAUCCCCCAUUGCGUUUCCAUGAUGAACCUUGUCGCCACAAGGUUUUAGAUUUCAUUGGUGAUAUAUCACUUUUUGCACGGUUAGGCAGUCAAGGGCUUCCGGUGGCACACCUAGUGGUUUACAAGGUAAGUUCUUUGUGAUUUACCUCUCUAGUGUGUGGUUAUUACAUAUAGGAUUACACUACCAAUCAGAUAAUAAGAAUUCUUGGAGCACAAUCUGAACUUGUUUUGUUUUUUUAUUACGUGGAUACCUUUUAUUUAUUCCUCAAGCAUGUUGUUGCCUGCAUUAUAAGAGCCAGGUAUCUUUUGAUGAUUAUUAACAAUUGAAAGACUCUUCUAGAUUAGCUCUUCUGGAGGGGGUAAUCUCAACCCUCCCUUGUCGUCAGAUUGUUUUUGGUUUCUCUUGAUGGACAUACACAUCUCUGUUUCUUACAAAUAUGUGUGUGUUUGUGUAAGGGAAAGGUAUAUUCUCAGUCUCCUUGCUCUAUUAUGUCUUUCUUUGUCCAUUGCCCUUUCUGUAUAUAUUUGUAUAUAUUGAUGACGAACCCUAGUAUUUAGUUUCUCUUGGCGCAUCACAUGAUAGGAAUUUAUGAAUUUGGCGAUCAAAUAUAUUCUAAUUUCUUUAUUUCUCUAAUAAGUUCUUGCCUUGUUGUGAUUUGUUAAUGUCAUGCCCUCAAUUAACAGACUUCCAUUUUGCUACUAUGCCAUUUCACUUUGUUUCCAGAAGCUGCAUCAAAUCUAAAAAGUGCAUUAUUUGAGGGGUGCCAUGACUUUCUCAUUUGAACCUUUAGUUCCCAUAGCAAAUCCUUGUCUUAGUUAUUCGAAUGUUGUUUUUGUGACUGGUGGACAUAUAGACGGAGGUUAUGUAAAUGUGAGCAUUGCUUUUUUGAAGUACUUGAAUUUUUCUGCUGAAAGUUUGAGAGGGAUUUGGUGGUGUUCUUUGUUAGGGAUAACUGUUAAAACGAUUGUAUUUGAGCAGCAGAUUGUGUAGAGGGUUGAGAGUUUUAAUUGAUGUGUCAUUUGGGGAAAUAUUAUGGGCACUAUAAAAGGUUGGAUCAAAUUGGAAAUACCAGUUCAAGAAAAUGUGUCCAAAUUUCUGGCAUAAUCGACUAGGGGGUGCAAAUUGGUCGGCUGACAUUGUUUUGGGCUCAAACCAACACUCAUCCCUGACGUGUCAAUUUUGGUCAAUUGGAGUCCUGAAACUUUCUAACCUUUGUACAAAUUGACCAUUCUCGGUCAGUUGGUUUUGAUCGGAUUUUGGUGGAUGCUAGAGAAAGAGUAGAUUAUCAUAGUUGUGUGGCUAAAAAUGUUGAGAUGCAGUUAUAGGAGAGAGUCUAAACCAAAGAACAUAUUAUUUGUCUUCUUUCUUGUCAUUAGGAAGUUUUUAAUCUUCAUUUUGCUCAAGAAAAAAGAACAGUGGAGCAUUGUGUUAAUUCUAAAGGUUUUUUUCCCUUGGUUAAUCUUGCUACUCAAAGAUUCAUCCAAAGAAAGGUAGUUAUUUUACCAAUAAAGAGGGAAUGAACCUGAUGAGUUGACCAAUUCCUAUUUAGGUCGUCUUUUUACCAAGGGUGGUCAUUCUAUGCAUGCCAAUUUUGUUCGCCGCCUAUCGGAAAACAUUUGAGUAGACAAGUAGCUGUCUUUGCUUGCAGAAGUGUAAAAAUAUUCUGCAAUUGAGGUAAUUAAGUCUUUGAAAUUUCUCCUCCGGUUGCUUGGCAGAUGAAACAUUCUGCUGUAAUUUGGGAAAAUAGUUGUGUAAAAUCUAUAAGAACGAUCAACGGGUAGGAUUCGUCACAAUUGCAGUAAUUUCAUAUACUAGAUCGUAUGUUGGAGGAAGUUUUUGUAUUCUUUUAAGCCACAAAUCCGAAUGAGGUGAAAAUUGAUUUAGGUUUUCAUCUUAAUGUUGUUUUCUAGUAAAUCCUUAACAGGAUAAAUGAAUAACUACUUGGCUUUUAUCUUCCAGUAUAAAAUUUGCCUAAAUGGAAAGAAUAGAUAGAAAAAAAUUGGAUCAGAUCAUACGUCUGUAUGGUGUAAAUUACUCACCCUGCUGAUGGUUCAAUCUGUGUUCUUUGCUCUUUGUUGGUCGUAAUUAUCUAAUGUGGUAUUCAUACUCGUUCUUCGUUUACAGUCGUUAAAUGUAGAGGUUGCAGUAUCUCAGAUCUUGCUGAUAUGCUUGAUUCAGGAACUCUCUGAAGGAGUCCACAACUUUCUUAAUUUAUUCUUAACUCGAUUGUGUGCUCAUCGAGGAGGAUGAUAUCGCCAUGUGAAGAAAGGUACACUUCAAUAAUUGUUUUUUUUUAAUGAUAAUGUUAUUGAUCAUUUAUUAGACUGAGUCAAUACAAAUGGUCGGGAAAUAACAUGGUUAAAUUUUUACGGCUUGGGCUCUUUUAGGUGAUAGAUUCUAAACUUCCCUCCAGGUUAUUAGUGUAGAUGCAAAUUGUACCUCUGUAUUGUAGGUUGUCUCUGAGAAGGAUUCAUGGUCCUCUAUAUUGAAUUUGAACAUCCACUCUGGGAGUUUUCUUGAACUCUGUUAAUCAUGGCCAUACGGAUUAAAAUCGACUAGUGAUGUUAAAUAUUCUUCAACUUC